This 633-nucleotide ribosomal RNA is filed under the name Kusaghiporia persicina. RNAcentral describes it as "SSU rRNA". The record is from RNAcentral. Lineage: Eukaryota; Fungi; Basidiomycota; Agaricomycetes; Polyporales; Laetiporaceae.
CAUUCAAAUAUCUGCCCUAUCAACNUUCGAUGGUAGGAUAGAGGCCUACCAUGGUUAUGACGGGUAACGGGGAAUUAGGGUUCGAUUCCGGAGAGGGAGCCUGAGAAACGGCUACCACAUCCAAGGAAGGCAGCAGGNGCGCAAAUUACCCAAUCCCGACACGGGGAGGUAGUGACAAUAAAUAACAAUGUAGGGCUCUUUUUCGGGUCUUAUAAUUGGAAUGARUACAAUCUAAAUCUCUUAACGAGGAACAAUUGGAGGGCAAGUCUGGUGCCAGCAGCCGCGGUAAUUCCAGCUCCAAUAGCGUAUAUUAAAGUUGUUGCAGUUAAAAAGCUCGUAGUUGAACUUCAGGCUCGGCCGGGUGGUCCACCUUUACGGGUGUGUACUGUCCGGCUCGGCCUUUCACCCUCUUGGUGAGCCGGCAUGCUCUUCGCUGGGUGUGUCGGGGAACCGGGACGAUUACCUUGAGAAAAUUAGAGUGUUCAAAGCAGGCGUGUGCCCGAAUACAUUAGCAUGGAAUAAUGAAAUAGGACGUGCGGUUCUAUUUUGUUGGUUUCUAGAGUCGCCGUAAUGAUUAAUAGGAACAGUUGGGGGCAUCAGUAUGGGGCUGUCAGAGGUGAAAUUCUUGGAUCA